CCGUAGCUCAGCUGGACAGAGCACUCGCCUCCUAAGCGAGGGGCUGAGCACUUUUUCCAAAAUAAAAAGUCGUGGGGCUACGAGUUAACUUUUUGACUCAGGACGUC
This 107-nucleotide transfer RNA is filed under the name Oscillospiraceae bacterium. Its description in RNAcentral is "tRNA-Arg". Lineage: Bacteria; Bacillati; Bacillota; Clostridia; Eubacteriales; Oscillospiraceae. The record is from RNAcentral.